RNAcentral lists this ribosomal RNA (468 nucleotides) under uncultured bacterium. Its description in RNAcentral is "partial 16S ribosomal RNA". It matches the Rfam family "Bacterial small subunit ribosomal RNA", at positions 28 to 507 of the family's 1533-position model. The record is from RNAcentral.
GACGAACGCUGGCGGCGUGCUUAACACAUGCAAGUCGAACGGAAAGGCCCUGCUUUUGUGGGGUGCUCGAGUGGCGAACGGGUGAGUAACACGUGAGUAACCUGCCCUUGACUUUGGGAUAACUUCAGGAAACUGGGGCUAAUACCGGAUAGGAGCUCCUGCUGCAUGGUGGGGGUUGGAAAGUUUCGGCGGUUGGGGAUGGACUCGCGGCUUAUCAGCUUGUUGGUGGGGUAGUGGCUUACCAAGGCUUUGACGGGUAGCCGGCCUGAGAGGGUGACCGGCCACAUUGGGACUGAGAUACGGCCCAGACUCCUACGGGAGGCAGCAGUGGGGAAUAUUGCACAAUGGGCGAAAGCCUGAUGCAGCAACGCCGCGUGCGGGAUGACGGCCUUCGGGUUGUAAACCGCUUUCGCCUGUGACGAAGCGUGAGUGACGGUAAUGAGUAAAGAAGCACCGGCUAACUACGUG